CCUACGGGGCGCAGCAGUGAGGAAUAUUGGUCAAUGGGCGCAAGCCUGAACCAGCCAAGUCGCGUGAGGGAUGACGGUCCUAUGGAUUGUAAACCUCUUUUGUCGGGGAGCAAGGCCCGCCACGUGUGGCGGGAAGGAGAGUACCCGAAGAAAAAGCAUCGGCUAACUCCGUGCCAGCGGCCGCGGUAAUACGGAGGAUGCGAGCGUUAUCCGGAUUUAUUGGGUUUAAAGGGUGCGCAGGCGGUCUGUUAAGUCAGCGGUCAAAGCCCGGGGCUCAACCCCGGCCCGCCGCUGAAACUGGCAGG
Molecule: ribosomal RNA, 305 nt
Filed under: uncultured bacterium
Lineage: Bacteria
Description: bacterial SSU rRNA
Rfam family: Bacterial small subunit ribosomal RNA
Source: RNAcentral